UUUAAAUAGCUGCAGUAUUUUAACUGUACAAAGGUAGCAUAGUAAUUAGUCUUUUAAUUGAGGUCUAGAAUGAAUGGGUUGUCAAGAAAAUAACUUUAUUUUUAAAAUUUAAUAUUUAAUUUUACUUUUAAGUUAAAAGGCUUAAAUUUUUGAGUGGGACGAUAAGACCCUAUAGAUCUUAAAAUUUUUAAUUUUUCUUAUUUUUUGGGAGUUUAAAAUUUAAUUAUUGAAAAUUUUUCGUUGGGGUGAUGUUAAAAUUUUUCAAACUUUUAAAAUUUUAAACAUUUUUAAAUGGAUUUUUGAUCUUAAAUUUUUGAUUAUUAGAUUAAGAUACCUUAGGGAUAACAGCACAAUAAAUUUGAAUAGUUCAAAUUGUUAAAUUUGUUUGUGACCUCGAUGUUGAAUUAAUUUAAGAUAUUGAAGCAGAAAUUAAAUGUCUGGGUCUGUUCGACCUUUAAAUAAUUACA
RNAcentral lists this ribosomal RNA (467 nucleotides) under Kelisia xiphura. RNAcentral's name for it is "partial 16S ribosomal RNA". The record is from RNAcentral. Lineage: Eukaryota; Metazoa; Arthropoda; Insecta; Hemiptera; Delphacidae.